This 253-nucleotide ribosomal RNA is filed under the name uncultured bacterium. Its description in RNAcentral is "partial 16S ribosomal RNA". It matches the Rfam family "Bacterial small subunit ribosomal RNA", at positions 524 to 776 of the family's 1533-position model. The record is from RNAcentral.
UACGAAGGGGGCUAGCGUUGCUCGGAAUUACUGGGCGUAAAGGGCUCGUAGGUGGCCAACUAAGUCAGACGUGAAAUCCCUCGGCUUAACCGGGGAACUGCGUCUGAUACUGGAUGGCUUGAGUUUGGGAGAGGGACGCGGAAUUCCAGGUGUAGCGGUGAAAUGCGCAGAUAUCAGGAGGAACACCGGUGGCGAAGGCGGGUCUCUGGGCCGAUACUGACGCUGAGGAGCGAAAGCGUGGGGAGCGAACAGG